CCGCCGGCGACCGGCGCACGGGUGAGUAACACGUAUGCAACCUGGCCGUGACAGAUGGAUAACCGGGAGAAAUCCCGCCUAAUACAACAUAAUGCCGGGAGGGGACAUCCCCUGCCGGGCCAAAGGGGGCGACCCCGGUCACGGAUGGGCAUGCGGCGCAUUAGGUAGUUGGUGGGGCAACGGCCCACCAAGCCGACGAUGCGUAGGGGUUCUGAGAGGAAGGUCCCCCACAUUGGAACUGAGACACGGUCCAAACUCCUACGGAAGGCAGCAG
This 274-nucleotide ribosomal RNA is filed under the name uncultured bacterium. Its description in RNAcentral is "partial 16S ribosomal RNA". It matches the Rfam family "Bacterial small subunit ribosomal RNA", at positions 85 to 354 of the family's 1533-position model. The record is from RNAcentral.